This 208-nucleotide long non-coding RNA is filed under the name Elaeis guineensis (African oil palm). RNAcentral's name for it is "long non-coding RNA (EGUI_LNC048345)". Lineage: Eukaryota; Viridiplantae; Streptophyta; Magnoliopsida; Arecales; Arecaceae. The record is from RNAcentral.
AAGGAGAAGAGGAUGUCGGAGAAGAUGAUCGGAGGCAGUCCCGUUGAGCACUCCUUUAAGAACAAGGGUACUGCGAAGACACAAGCCGGCCCUUCCUCUAGUGCCAAUUCUGUUGGUGCAGAAUUUCGUCGAAGUCAGAGUUGCUGGAGUCGAGAUGACCGUGGCCGUCAUCAGGACCUACAAGAAAAGUCUAAACCGGAGUUGGGGG